RNAcentral lists this ribosomal RNA (429 nucleotides) under Gemmatimonadota bacterium. Its description in RNAcentral is "Gemmatimonadetes bacterium partial 16S ribosomal RNA". It matches the Rfam family "Bacterial small subunit ribosomal RNA", at positions 355 to 776 of the family's 1533-position model. Lineage: Bacteria; Pseudomonadati; Gemmatimonadota. The record is from RNAcentral.
UAGGGAAUCUUCGGCAAUGGACGAAAGUCUGACCGAGCAACGCCGCGUGAGUGAAGAAGGUUUUCGGAUCGUAAAACUCUGUUGUUAGAGAAGAACAAGGACGUUAGUAACUGAACGUCCCCUGACGGUAUCUAACCAGAAAGCCACGGCUAACUACGUGCCAGCAGCCGCGGUAAUACGUAGGUGGCAAGCGUUGUCCGGAUUUAUUGGGCGUAAAGCGAGCGCAGGCGGUUUCUUAAGUCUGAUGUGAAAGCCCCCGGCUCAACCGUGGAGGGUCAUUGGAAACUGGGAGACUUGAGUGCAGAAGAGGAGAGUGGAAUUCCAUGUGUAGCGGUGAAAUGCGUAGAUAUAUGGAGGAACACCAGUGGCGAAGGCGUCUCUCUGGUCUGUAACUGACGCUGAGGCUCGAAAGCGUGGGGAGCAAACAGG